CACACUGUAAACGAUGAUAACUCGCUGUCGGCGAUACACAGUCGGUGGCCAAGCGAAAGCGAUAAGUUAUCCACCUGGGGAGUACGACCGCAAGGUUGAAACUCAAAGGAAUUGACGGGGGCCCGCACAAGCGGAGGAACAUGUGGUUUAAUUCGAUGAUACGCGAGGAACCUUACCCGGGCUCGAACGGUGCAUGAAUAGAUCAGAGAUGGUUUAGUCCUUCGGGACAUGUAUCGAGGUGC
RNAcentral lists this ribosomal RNA (242 nucleotides) under uncultured bacterium. RNAcentral's name for it is "partial 16S ribosomal RNA". It matches the Rfam family "Bacterial small subunit ribosomal RNA", at positions 796 to 1041 of the family's 1533-position model. The record is from RNAcentral.